Molecule: ribosomal RNA, 490 nt
Filed under: uncultured bacterium
Lineage: Bacteria
Description: partial 16S ribosomal RNA
Rfam family: Bacterial small subunit ribosomal RNA
Source: RNAcentral
GAUGAACGCUAGCUACAGGCUUAACACAUGCAAGUCGCGGGGCAGCAUGGGGGUUGCUUGCAAUCCCCGAUGGCGACCGGCGCACGGGUGAGUAACGCGUAUCCAACCUGCCCUUCACCACGGGAUAACCCGGCGAAAGUCGGACUAAUACCGUAUGUUGUCCAUUGACGGCAUCCGAUUUGGACGAAAGGCUUGGCGGUGAGGGAUGGGGAUGCGUCCGAUUAGCCAGACGGCGGGGUAACGGCCCACCGUGGCUACGAUCGGUAGGGGUUCUGAGAGGAAGGUCCCCCACACUGGAACUGAGACACGGUCCAGACUCCUACGGGAGGCAGCAGUGAGGAAUAUUGGUCAAUGGGCGUAAGCCUGAACCAGCCAAGUAGCGUGCAGGAUGACGGCCCUAUGGGUUGUAAACUGCUUUUAUGCGGGGAUAAAGUGGCCCACGUGUGGGCUUUUGCAGGUACCGCAUAAAUAAGGACCGGCUAAUUCCGUG